CGAACGCUGGCGGCGUGCUUAACACAUGCAAGUCGAACGGAAAGGCCCUGCUUUUGUGGGGUGCUCGAGUGGCGAACGGGUGAGUAACACGUGAGUAACCUGCCCUUGACUUUGGGAUAACUUCAGGAAACUGGGGCUAAUACCGGAUAGGAGCUCCUGCUGCAUGGUGGGGGUUGGAAAGUUUCGGCGGUUGGGGAUGGACUCGCGGCUUAUCAGCUUGUUGGUGGGGUAGUGGCUUACCAAGGCUUUGACGGGUAGCCGGCCUGAGAGGGUGACCGGCCACAUUGGGACUGAGAUACGGCCCAGACUCCUACGGGAGGCAGCAGUGGGGAAUAUUGCACAAUGGGCGGAAGCCUGAUGCAGCAACGCCGCGUGCGGGAUGACGGCCUUCGGGUUGUAAACCGCUUUCGCCUGUGACGAAGCGUGAGUGACGGUAAUGGGUAAAGAAGCACCGGCUAACUACGUGCCAGCAGCCGCGGUGAUACGUAGGGUGCGAGCGUUGUCCGGAUUUAUUGGGCGUAAAGGGCUCGUAGGUGGUUGAUCGCGUCGGAAGUGUAAUCUUGGGGCUUAACCCUGAGCGUGCUUUCGAUACGGGUUGACUUGAGGAAGGUAGGGGAGAAUGGAAUUCCUGGUGGAGCGGUGGAAUGCGCAGAUAUCAGGAGGAACACCAGUGGCGAAGGCGGUUCUCUGGGCCUUUCCUGACGCUGAGGAGCGAAAGCGUGGGGAGCGAACAGGCUUAGAUACCCUGGUAGUCCACGCUGUAAACGGUGGGUACUAGGUGUGGGGUCCAUUCCACGGGUUCCGUGCCGUAGCUAACGCUUUAAGUACCCCGCCUGGGGAGUACGGCCGCAAGGCUAAAACUCAAAGGAAUUGACGGGGCCCCGCACAAGCGGCGGAGCAUGCGGAUUAAUUCGAUGCAACGCGUAGAACCUUACCUGGGUUUGACAUGGAUCGGGAGUGCUCAGAGAUGGGUGUGCCUCUUUUGGGGUCGGUUCACAGGUGGUGCAUGGCUGUCGUCAGCUCGUGUCGUGAGAUGUUGGGUUAAGUCCCGCAACGAGCGCAACCCUUGUUCACUGUUGCCAGCACGUUAUGGUGGGGACUCAGUGGAGACCGCCGGGGUCAACUCGGAGGAAGGUGGGGAUGACGUCAAGUCAUCAUGCCCCUUAUGUCCAGGGCUUCACGCAUGCUACAAUGGCUGGUACAGAGAGUGGCGAGCCUGUGAGGGUGAGCGAAUCUCGGAAAGCCGGUCUCAGUUCGGAUUGGGGUCUGCAACUCGACCUCAUGAAGUCGGAGUCGCUAGUAAUCGCAGAUCAGCAACGCUGCGGUGAAUACGUUCCCGGGGCUUGUACACACCGCCCGUCAAGUCAUGAAAGUUGGUAACACCCGAAGCCGGUGGCCUAACCGUUGUGGGGGAGCCGUCGAAGGUGGGACUGGUGAUUAGGACU
This 1445-nucleotide ribosomal RNA is filed under the name uncultured organism. Its description in RNAcentral is "partial small subunit ribosomal RNA". It matches the Rfam family "Bacterial small subunit ribosomal RNA". The record is from RNAcentral.